AGCUACGGCCAUACAAUGCUGAAAAUACCGGAUCCCGUCCGAUCUCCGCAGUCAAGCAGCAUCUGGACCAGUCAGUACUAUGGUGGGGGAGGACCACAUGGGAAUACUGGUUGCUGUUUUCU
Molecule: ribosomal RNA, 122 nt
Filed under: Parasitella parasitica
Lineage: Eukaryota; Fungi; Mucoromycota; Mucoromycetes; Mucorales; Mucoraceae
Source: RNAcentral